UAGGGAAUAUUGCACAAUGGAGGAAACUCUGAUGCAGCCAUGCCGCGUGUGUGAAGAAGGCCUUCGGGUUGUAAAGCACUUUCGGAGGGGAGGAACAAAUGACGUUACCCUCAGAAGAAGCACCGGCUAACUCCGUGCCAGCAGCCGCGGUAAUACGUAGGGGCAAGCGUUAUCCGGAUUUACUGGGUGUAAAGGGAGCGUAGACGGCAAUGCAAGUCUGAAGUGAAAGGCCGGGGCUCAACCCCGGGACUGCUUUGGAAACUGUGUAGCUGGAGUACAGGAGAGGUAAGUGGAAUUCCUAGUGUAGCGGUGAAAUGCGUAGAUAUUAGGAGGAACACCAGUGGCGAAGGCGGCUUACUGGACUGUAACUGACGUUGAGGCUCGAAAGCGUGGGGAGCAAACAGGAUUAGAUACCCUGGUAGU
Molecule: ribosomal RNA, 423 nt
Filed under: uncultured Clostridium sp.
Lineage: Bacteria; Bacillati; Bacillota; Clostridia; Eubacteriales; Clostridiaceae
Description: bacterial SSU rRNA
Rfam family: Bacterial small subunit ribosomal RNA
Source: RNAcentral